RNAcentral lists this ribosomal RNA (376 nucleotides) under uncultured bacterium. RNAcentral describes it as "bacterial SSU rRNA". It matches the Rfam family "Bacterial small subunit ribosomal RNA", at positions 524 to 898 of the family's 1533-position model. The record is from RNAcentral.
UACGUAGGUGGCGAGCGUUGUCCGGAAUUAUUGGGCGUAAAGGGCGCGUAGGCGGUUAUUUAAGUCAGCUGUGAAAACUCUGGGCUCAACCCAGAGAUUGCAGUUGAAACUGGGUAGCUUGAGUGCAGGAGAGGACAGUGGAAUUCCUAGUGUAGCGGUGAAAUGCGUAGAUAUUAGGAGGAACACCAGUGGCGAAGGCGGCUGUCUGGACUGUAACUGACGCUGAGGCGCGAAAGCGUGGGUAGCAAACAGGAUUAGAUACCCUGGUAGUCCACGCCGUAAACGAUGGGUACUAGGUGUAGGAGGUCUCGACCCCUUCUGUGCCGGAGUUAACACAAUAAGUACCCCGCCUGGGGAGUACGGCCGCAAGGCUGAA